AAGGUUUCUUUAUGUUGGAUUAUGGAGAAGGUGAGAACUUGAUUUUACUUUAUCAAAAUAGAGCAAAAUUUAUAAACAAAGACAAAUUUAAAGAUGAAGAGAAAAACAUAAAUUUCAUUCCAUAUAGCAAGCAUAAAAUAAAGAUGCUUUCUUUCUCUAUUUCUUCUUCAUUUUCUAAUCAAAUUAACUACACUAAGUUAGGCAAUUUUGAAGGACCUUCAUAUUGAUAAAAAAAAAAUAAAAAACUAAAAAGAUCCCCAAUGACAAUGAAUUGCUUAUAACAUAUUCUUUUUACAUGAUAAAUAUUGAGAUAUGUAAGUUAAAAUAUUCUUUGCAUCGUUUUCGCGGGUUAAAGCCUUCUUUAGAAAAAAGUACAGGAAGCCUUUCUCUUUAUCAGAG
Molecule: unclassified non-coding RNA, 399 nt
Filed under: Hevea brasiliensis (rubber tree)
Lineage: Eukaryota; Viridiplantae; Streptophyta; Magnoliopsida; Malpighiales; Euphorbiaceae
Source: RNAcentral